GUGCUGGCUUCAGCAGCACAGAUACUAAAAUUGGAAUGACAGAGAGAAGAUUAGCAUGACCCCCAAGCAGAGAUGACACGCAAAUUUGGGAAGUGUUCCAUAUUUUU
Small nuclear RNA from Diceros bicornis minor, 107 nucleotides. NCBI's taxonomy places the organism in Eukaryota, Metazoa, Chordata, Mammalia, Perissodactyla, Rhinocerotidae. The record is from RefSeq and is a predicted model, not a curated record.